UACGGAGGGUGCAAGCAUUAAUCGGAUUUAUUGGGCGUAAAGGGCGCGUAGGCGGUAAGAAAAGUCAGAUGUGAAAUCCUGGGGCUCAACCUCAGAACAGCAUUUGAAACUGUCUUUCUAGAGGGUAGGCGGAGAAAACGGAAUUCCACAAGUAGCGGUGAAAUGCGUAGAUAUGUGGAAGAACACCGGUGGCGAAGGCGGUUUUCUAGCUUAUACCUGACGCUGAGGCGCGAAAGCAAGGGGAUCAAACAGG
Molecule: ribosomal RNA, 253 nt
Filed under: uncultured bacterium
Lineage: Bacteria
Description: partial 16S ribosomal RNA
Rfam family: Bacterial small subunit ribosomal RNA
Source: RNAcentral